GGUUAUGGCUCAGUGGUAGAGCGCUCGCCUAGCACAUGAGGCACUGGGUUCGAUCCUCAGCACCA
Molecule: transfer RNA, 65 nt
Filed under: Marmota monax (woodchuck)
Lineage: Eukaryota; Metazoa; Chordata; Mammalia; Rodentia; Sciuridae
Description: tRNA.Ala
Source: RNAcentral